ACAGAGGCUUUCUUAAAAGCCAUCUUCACCUAAAAUUGGUUGAGAU
This is a non-coding RNA of Mesocricetus auratus (golden hamster), 46 nucleotides long. Lineage: Eukaryota; Metazoa; Chordata; Mammalia; Rodentia; Cricetidae. The record is from Rfam.